AAUCCUCUGCCGUGUUCGAUACGGGGCUUGUGCGUUGACCCUACAAAUAUUUCAAAGGGUGUCGGAUCGGUUCGGCCGCGUGUAUAUCCGCCGAUCGUUUUUCGAAACGCUCGUCGGCUCACACAACCCGGAUCUUCGGCAUCCCCCUGAACUUCAAGGGUUCAGAACCUCAACGCCCACCGGCACCUGCGGAGGUUUC
This 199-nucleotide non-coding RNA is filed under the name Planctomycetales bacterium 12-60-4. Its description in RNAcentral is "6S RNA". It matches the Rfam family "6S / SsrS RNA". Rfam says of the family: E. coli 6S RNA was the first non coding RNA to be sequenced, but its function was unknown until recently. It consists of 184 nucleotides that fold into an extended hairpin structure with a large single-stranded internal bulge. The 6S RNA specifically associates with RNA polymerase holoenzyme containing the sigma70 specificity factor. The record is from RNAcentral. Lineage: Bacteria; Pseudomonadati; Planctomycetota; Planctomycetia; Planctomycetales.